RNAcentral lists this ribosomal RNA (485 nucleotides) under uncultured bacterium. RNAcentral describes it as "partial 16S ribosomal RNA". It matches the Rfam family "Bacterial small subunit ribosomal RNA", at positions 30 to 507 of the family's 1533-position model. The record is from RNAcentral.
UUGAACGCUGGCGGCAUGCCUUACACAUGCAAGUCGAACGGCAGCACGGGUGCUUGCACCUGGUGGCGAGUGGCGAACGGGUGAGUAAUACAUCGGAACAUGUCCUGUAGUGGGGGAUAGCCCGGCGAAAGCCGGAUUAAUACCGCAUACGAUCUACGGAUGAAAGCGGGGGACCUUCGGGCCUCGCGCUAUAGGGUUGGCCGAUGGCUGAUUAGCUAGUUGGUGGGGUAAAGGCCUACCAAGGCGACGAUCAGUAGCUGGUCUGAGAGGACGACCGGCCACACUGGGACUGAGACACGGCCCAGACUCCUACGGGAGGCAGCAGUGGGGAAUUUUGGACAAUGGGCGAAAGCCUGAUCCAGCAAUGCCGCGUGUGUGAAGAAGGCCUUCGGGUUGUAAAGCACUUUUGUCCGGAAAGAAAUCCUUGGCCCUAAUACGGUCGGGGGAUGACGGUACCGGAAGAAUAAGCACCGGCUAACUACGUG